UACUCCCACACCAAGAGCAGCCCUUGCUCCCGAGGCCUGAGCUUGCAUCUGAGACCCUGUAUCUAGAAGUCAAGGCCAGGGGAUCCAUCGUCCAUGACAGACGCAGAGCUAAUUUGGAUUCCGUUCAGACUGUAAACCAGCACACUGUUGGAAUGACAACCAGCCAAGGGAAAUCUUGGACCACAGCUCCGAGAUGCUCAGCCUUAAAGAUCAUCCCUAGUAUGAAGGCAAUAAUGGUGUAACAGCUC
RNAcentral lists this long non-coding RNA (248 nucleotides) under Chinchilla lanigera (long-tailed chinchilla). RNAcentral describes it as "lncRNA (ENSCLAG00000024963.1)". The record is from RNAcentral. Lineage: Eukaryota; Metazoa; Chordata; Mammalia; Rodentia; Chinchillidae.